GACGGAGGGUGCUAGCGUUGUUCGGAAUUACUGGGCGUAAAGGGCGCGUAGGCGGUCUCGUCAGUCGGGUGUGAAAGCCCGGGGCUCAACCCCGGAACGGCACCCGAGACGGCGGGACUGGAGACCGGGAGAGGAGGGUGGAAUAGCCAGUGUAGAGGUGAAAUUCGUAGAUAUUGGCUGGAACACCGGUGGCGAAAGCGGCUCUCUGGCCCGGUUCUGACGCUGAGGCGCGAAAGCGUGGGGAGCGAACAGG
This 253-nucleotide ribosomal RNA is filed under the name uncultured bacterium. Its description in RNAcentral is "partial 16S ribosomal RNA". It matches the Rfam family "Bacterial small subunit ribosomal RNA", at positions 524 to 776 of the family's 1533-position model. The record is from RNAcentral.